CUGUGUCCUUCGACGCCGGUUCACCGCCUGUCGGUGCCAACUGGCGUUUUGCGGGACGUCCUGUCGGUGGUGCGUCAGGAAUCUUAGUUGUGCUAUGCUCUGCUUAGUGCAGCUCUGGUUUCGGGCCACUUUCAUAAUCGCGCCGCGGUGCUCUUAAUCGAGUGUCGAGGCGGGCCGGCACGUUUACUUUGAACAAAUUAGAGUGCUUCAAGCAGGCUUGUCACGCCUGUAUACUGUGUGCAUGGAAUAAUGGAAUAGGACCUCGGUUCUAUUUUGUUGGUUUCCGGAAUCUGAGGUAAUGAUCAAUGGGGACAGGCGGGGGCAUUCGUAUUGCGACGUUAGAGGUGAAAUUCUUGGAUCGUCGCAAGACGGACCGAAGCGAAAGCAUUUGCCAAGUAUGUUCCCGUCGAUCAAGAACGAAAGUUAGAGGUUCGAAGGCGAUCAGAUACCGCCCUAGUUCUAACCAUAAACAAUGCCUGCCAGCGAUCCGCCGGCGUCCCUCCGAUGACCCGGCGGGCAGCUUCCGGGAAACCAGAGCUUUUGGGUUCCGGGGGAAGUAUGGUUGCAAAGCUGAAACUUAAAGGAAUUGACGGAAGGGCACCACCAGGAGUGGAGCCUGCGGCUUAAUUUGACUCAACACGGGAAAACUCACCAGGCCCGGACACCGGAAGGAUUGACAGAUUGAUAGCUCUUUCUUGAUUCGGUGGGUGGUGGUGCAUGGCCGUUCUUAGUUGGUGGAGCGAUUUGUCUGGUUAAUUCCGAUAACGAACGAGACUCUAGCCUACUAACUAGACGUAUCUGGUAUCAGCAAUCGUGCUACCAGCGAUCAUAUCUCUUCUUAGAGGGACAGGCGGCUUCUAGCCGCACGAGACUGAGCAAUAACAGGUCUGUGAUGCCCUUAGAUGUCCUGGGCCGCACGCGCGCUACACUGAAGGAAUCAGCGUGUCUUCCCUGUCCGAAAGGACCGGGUAACCCGCUGAACCUCCUUCGUGCUUGGGAUUGGGGCUUGCAAUUGUUCCCCAUGAACGAGGAAUUCCCAGUAAGCGCGAGUCAUAAGCUCGCGUUGAUUACGUCCCUGCCCUUUGUACACACCGCCCGUCGCUACUACCGAUUGAAUGAUUUAGUGAGGUCUUCGGACCGGUGCGCGGAGGCGGUUUUCCGCUCCCGAUGUUGUCGGAAAGAUGACCAAACUUGAUCAUU
RNAcentral lists this ribosomal RNA (1200 nucleotides) under Muirodelphax aubei. RNAcentral's name for it is "SSU rRNA". It matches the Rfam family "Eukaryotic small subunit ribosomal RNA", at positions 723 to 1773 of the family's 1831-position model. Lineage: Eukaryota; Metazoa; Arthropoda; Insecta; Hemiptera; Delphacidae. The record is from RNAcentral.